This 400-nucleotide ribosomal RNA is filed under the name Cephalopholis sonnerati (tomato hind). RNAcentral's name for it is "partial 12S ribosomal RNA". It matches the Rfam family "Bacterial small subunit ribosomal RNA", at positions 777 to 1375 of the family's 1533-position model. Lineage: Eukaryota; Metazoa; Chordata; Actinopteri; Perciformes; Serranidae. The record is from RNAcentral.
AUUAGAUACCCCACUAUGCUUUAGCCCUAAACAUUGAUAGUUUUUUACACCUACUAUCCGCCUGGGAACUACGAGCAACAGCUUAAAACCCAAAGGACUUGGCGGUGCUUUAGACCCACCUAGAGGAGCCUGUUCUGAAACCGAUAACCCCCGUUCAACCUCACCUUUUCUUGUUCUCCCCGCCUAUAUACCGCCGUCGUCAGCUUACCCUAUGAAGGCCCCUUAGUAAGCACAAUUGGUACAACCCAAAACGUCAGGUCGAGGUGUAGCGUAUGGAAAGGGAAGAAAUGGGCUACAUUCCUUAAUCACAAGGAAUUACGAAAAAUAUUACUGAAACGUGUAUCUAGAAGGAGGAUUUAGCAGUAAGCAGAAAAUAGAGCGUUCCGCUGAAACUGGCCCU